CCUACGGGAGGCAGCAGUGGGGAAUAUUGCACAAUGGGGGAAACCCUGAUGCAGCGACGCCGCGUGAGUGAAGAAGUAUUUCGGUAUGUAAAGCUCUAUCAGCAGGGAAGAGAAUGACAGUUCCUGGAUAAGAAGCCCCGGCUAACUACGUGCCAGCAGCCGCGGGAAUACGUAGGGGGCAAGCGUUAUUCGGAUUUACUGGGUGGAAAGGGAGCGUAGACGGAAGGGCAAGUCUGGAGUGAAAGGCCAGGGCUUAACCCCGGGACUGCUUUGGAAACUGUACGGCUGGAGUGCAGGAGAGGUAAGUGGAAUUCCUAGUGUAGCGGUGAAAUGCGUAGAUAUUAGGAGGAACACCAGUGGCGAAGGCGGCUUACUGGACUGUAACUGACGUUGAGGCUCGAAAGCGUGGGGAGCAAACAGGAUUAGAUACCCUGGUAGUC
Molecule: ribosomal RNA, 440 nt
Filed under: uncultured bacterium
Lineage: Bacteria
Description: partial 16S ribosomal RNA
Rfam family: Bacterial small subunit ribosomal RNA
Source: RNAcentral